Molecule: ribosomal RNA, 350 nt
Filed under: Ixodes affinis
Lineage: Eukaryota; Metazoa; Arthropoda; Arachnida; Ixodida; Ixodidae
Description: partial large subunit ribosomal RNA
Source: RNAcentral
AGUGCUAAGAGAAUGAUUUAACAAUUAAAGGCUUUCUUUAAUUUAAUAAUUGAAUUUAAUUUUUUAGUGCAAAAGCAAAAAUUAUAAUUAGGGACAAGAAGACCCUAUGAAUUUUUUAUUUUUUUAUAAUAAAUUUAUUAUAAGAAAAUUUAAUUGGGGUGAUGAAAAAAGAAUAAAUAUCUUUUUGGUGUACAAAAAUUUAGUUCCGUUUUUAACGAUUAUAUGAAAAAAAUACUCUAGGGAUAACAGCGUAAUAAUUUUGGAUAGUUCAUAUAGAUAAAAUAGUUUGCGACCUCGAUGUUGGAUUAGGAUUCUUUUUCGGUGAAGAAGUUGAAAAGAAGAAGUUUGUU